Molecule: ribosomal RNA, 254 nt
Filed under: uncultured bacterium
Lineage: Bacteria
Description: partial 16S ribosomal RNA
Rfam family: Bacterial small subunit ribosomal RNA
Source: RNAcentral
UACGAAGGGGGCUAGCGUUGUUCGGAAUCACUGGGCGUAAAGCGCACGUAGGCGGAUCUUUAAGUCAGAGGUGAAAUCCCAAGGCUCAACCUUGGAACUGCCUUUGAUACUGGGGAUCUUGAGUCCGGGAGAGGUGAGUGGAACUGCGAGUGUAGAGGUGAAAUUCGUAGAUAUUCGCAAGAACACCAGUGGCGAAGGCGGCUCACUGGCCCGGUACUGACGCUGAGGUGCGAAAGCGUGGGGAGCAAACAGGG